Pelobates cultripes (western spadefoot toad) is the source of this 149-nucleotide non-coding RNA. The record is from the annotation of a GenBank genome assembly. Lineage: Eukaryota; Metazoa; Chordata; Amphibia; Anura; Pelobatidae.
GCAGUUCCUGUCAGUUCCCUUCUCCUCCACUGUAAGUCUCGCGGUCUGACUGCCUCGCGGAGCGUUGCCCCGGUAACCCGUGGCAACGCUCUGACGCUGCGGGUCUCGCGAGGCUUACAGUGGAGGAGAAGGGAGCUGACAGGAGCUGC